UCGAAGCCGAUGAUACGGAUGUAACAGUCGGGGUAGGCCUUCUUGCACUCCUCGAACUCAGCGUACACCUGGGUGGCCUCGGUGCAGCCGAACAUGGGCAGCUUCCACAUGGUCCAGUAGCGCCCGUCGUAGUAACAGGGAGACGUGCUGUUCUCACGAUAGACGAACCCGAUCUUGCUGAACUCGAGGCAGGGGAUCCAGUUCUUCCGGAUCAGGUAGUCGAUCUGCUUUAGGACCUCGUCCGUGGAGAGAG
This 253-nucleotide long non-coding RNA is filed under the name Setaria italica (foxtail millet). RNAcentral describes it as "long non-coding RNA (SITA_LNC002408)". The record is from RNAcentral. Lineage: Eukaryota; Viridiplantae; Streptophyta; Magnoliopsida; Poales; Poaceae.